Molecule: ribosomal RNA, 1454 nt
Filed under: Nemalionopsis shawii
Lineage: Eukaryota; Rhodophyta; Florideophyceae; Thoreales; Thoreaceae
Description: LSU rRNA
Rfam family: Eukaryotic large subunit ribosomal RNA
Source: RNAcentral
CAGUAGCGGCGAGCGAAGCGGGAAAAGCCCGGGAUGAAAAUCUCUUCGGAGACUUGUAUUCCGUGUGUCCUUGGGUGGUCAGUGCGGGCAAGUUGUCUGGGAUGACGCGCCAUGGAGGGUGAGAGCCCCGUCCAACCCGCACAGGAUCCAUUCGUACGAGGACACUUCAAACUGAGUCGGGUAGCUUGGGAAUGCUGCUCUAAUUGGUGGUAAAUCUCAUCAAAGGCUAAAUAAAAGUGGGAGACCGAUAGCGAACAAGUACCGUGAGGGAAAGAUGGAAAGUACUUUGAAAAGAGAGUGAAAAGCACUUGAAACCGUCAUGGGGGAAGCGAAUUGCGUUAGUGAUGGAUUGGCCUGUUCAGCUCAAAAUAUUUAUUGAGUGUAUUCUGGCUUUUCCGCGCUUGUGUGGCUGGUGCGAGUACAAGGAGGGUGUGAAGGGGGGAAUUUUUGUUUUUCUGUUCUACAUCAUUUGUCGGUACUUUGCGCUGGUGAGGGCUCCCCGCAAGGGUGAGGACACGAGCGAAAUGACGCAAUACGACCCGUCUUGAAACACGGACCAAGGAGUCUAGCACGGCUGCGAGUCGAAGGGUAAUUUUUUAUGAAAAACCUAGAGGGCGCAGUGAAAGCAACUAUGUUGGAGCAAUCUAACGACAAAGCAAAUUGGGGAGGCGUUGCGGUUUUACCAACAUGUCCUACCUUGAGCAUCUGUGCUGGGACCCGAAAGAUGGUGAACUAUGCCGGAGUAGGGCAAAGCCAGAGGAAACUCUGGUGGAGGCUCGUAGCGAUGCUGACGUGCAAAUCGCUCGUCGAACUUGGGUAUAGGGGCGAAAGACUAAUCGAACCAUCUAGUAGCUGGUUCCCUCCGAAGUUUCUCUCAGGAUAGCGGGCCGACACAUUUUUUUUUAAAAGUUGUUUUGUGCGGUAAAGCGAAUGAUUAGUGCAUUUGGGGGCCGAAGGCCUUCAGGCGAUUCUCAAACUUUAAAUGCGCAAGGGGGCGGCUGCUUAAUUUGAGCCUGCUCUUCGAAAAACGUCGGCUCCGUGGGCCACUUUUGGUAAGCAGAACUGGCGAUAAGGGAUGAACCUUAAGCGCGGUUAAGGCGCCGCAUUGCCCGCUUAUAGACCCCACAAAAGGUGUUGAUUCAUAUAGACAGCAGGACGGUGGCCAUGGAAGUCGGAAUCCGCUAAGGAGUGUGUAACAACUCACCUGCCGAAUGAAUUAGCCCUGAAAAUGGAUGGCGCUGAAGCGGGCAGCCGACACCGCGCCGUUCAGGCGAGACAACAUGUCUGAAUGAGUAGGAGGGCGUGGCGGUCCGUGACGCAGGCGAGGGUGCAAACCCCGCUGAAACGGCCGCUAGUGCAGAUCUUGGUGGUAGUAGCAAAUAUUCAAGCGAGAUCCUUGAAGGGCGAAGCGGGGGAAGGGUUCCAUGCGAACAUUGAUUGGGCGUGGGUGAGUC